This 1196-nucleotide ribosomal RNA is filed under the name Acinetobacter sp. 9A. Its description in RNAcentral is "bacterial SSU rRNA". It matches the Rfam family "Bacterial small subunit ribosomal RNA", at positions 249 to 1410 of the family's 1533-position model. Lineage: Bacteria; Pseudomonadati; Pseudomonadota; Gammaproteobacteria; Moraxellales; Moraxellaceae. The record is from RNAcentral.
GUGGAGGGUAAAAGGCCUACCAAGGCGAACGAUCCGUAGCGGGUCUGAGAGGAUGAUCCGCCACACUGGGACUGAGACACGGCCCAGACUCCUACGGGAGGCAACAGAUGGGGAAUAAUUGGACAAAGGGGGGAACCCUUGAGUCCAGCCAUUGUCGGCGUGUUUUGAAGAAGGCCUUUUCGGUUGUGAAAGCACUUUAUAGCGACGGAGGAGGACGUACUCUAGUUAAUACCUAGAGAUAGUGGACGUUACUCGCAGAAUAAGCACCGGCUAACUCUGUGCCAGCAGCCGCGGUAAUACAGAGGGUGCGAGCGUUAAUCGGAUUUACUGGGCGUAAAGCGUGCGUAGGUGGCCAAUUAAGUCAAAUGUGAAAUCCCCGAGCUUCAACUCUGGGAAUUGCAUUCGAUACUGGUUGGCUAGAGUAUGGGAGAGGAUGGUAGAAUUUCCAGGUGUAGCGGUGAAAUGCGUAGAGAUCUGGAGGAAUCACCGAUGGCGAAGGCAGCCAUUCUGGCCUAAUACUGACACUGAGGUACGAAAGCAUGGGGAGCAAACAGGAUUAGAUACCCUGGUAGUCCACUGCCGUAAACGAUGUCUACUAGCCGUUGGGGUCUUUGAGACUUUUAGUGGCGCAGCUAACGCGAUAAGUAGACCGCCUGGGGAGUACGGUCGCAAGACUAAAACUCAAAUGAAUUGACGGGGGCCCGCACAAGCGGUGGAGCAUGUGGUUUAAUUCGAUGCAACGCGAAGAACCUUACCUGGUCUUGACAUACGUAAGAACUUUCCAGAGAUGGAUUGGUGCCUUCGGGAGCUUACAUACAGGUGCUGCAUGGCUGUCGUCAGCUCGUGUCGUGAGAUGUUGGGUUAAGUCCCGCAACGAGCGCAACCCUUUUCCUUAUUUUGCCAGCGGGUUAUAGCCGGGAACUUUAAGGAUACUGCCAGUGACAAACUGGGGGGAAGGCGGGGACGACGUCAAGUCAUCAUGGCCCUUACGACCAGGGCUACACACGUGCUACAAUGGUCGGUACAAAGGGUUGCUCACCUCAGCGAGAGGAGCUAAUCUCAAGAAAGCCGAUCGUAGUCCGGAUUGGAGUCUGCAACUCGACUCAUGAAGUCGGAAUCGCUAGUAAUCGCGGAUCAGAAUGCCGCGGUGAAUACGUUCCCGGGCCUUGUACACACCGCCCGUCACACCAUGGGAG